This 447-nucleotide ribosomal RNA is filed under the name uncultured bacterium. RNAcentral's name for it is "SSU rRNA". It matches the Rfam family "Bacterial small subunit ribosomal RNA", at positions 26 to 518 of the family's 1533-position model. The record is from RNAcentral.
AGAGCGAACGCUGGCGGCAGGCUUAACACAUGCAAGUCGAGCGGGCGUAGCAAUACGUCAGCGGCAGACGGGUGAGUAACGCGUGGGAACAUACCUUUUGGUUCAGAACAACACAGGGAAACUUGUGCUAAUACCGAAUAAGCCCUUACGGGGAAAGAUUUAUCGCCGAAAGAUUGGCCCGCGUCUGAUUAGCUAGUUGGUGAGGUAACGGCUCACCAAGGCGACGAUCAGUAGCUGGUCUGAGAGGAUGAUCAGCCACAUUGGGACUGAGACACGGCCCAAACUCCUACGGGAGGCAGCAGUGGGGAAUAUUGGACAAUGGGCGCAAGCCUGAUCCAGCCAUGCCGCGUGAGUGAUGAAGGCCCUAGGGUUGUAAAGCUCUUUUGUGCGGGAAGAUAAUGACGGUACCGCAAGAAUAAGCCCGGCUAACUUCGCGUCAGCAGCCGC